AUGUCUGCUGAGGCAUGGGCUGAGGCUGAGGGUACAGGGGCGGGAAGACUGCCUGCUGGGGCACCUGCGGAUGGAGGUACAGGGGCGGGAAGACUGCCUGCUGGGGCACCUGCGGAUGGAGGUACAGGGGCGGGAAGACUGCCUGCUGGGGCACCUGCGGAUGGAGGUACAGGGGCGGGAAGACUGCCUGCUGGGGCACCUGCGGAUGGAGGUACAGGGGCGGGAAGACUGCCUGCUGGGGCACCUGCGGAUGGAGGUACAGGGGCGGGAAGACUGCCUGCUGGGGCACCUGCGGAUGGAGGUACAGGGGCGGGAAGACUGCCUGCUGGGGCACCUGCGGAUGGAGGUACAGGGGCGGGAAGACUGCCUGCUGGGGCACCUGCGGAUGGAGGUACAGGGGCGGGAAGACUGCCUGCUGGGGCACCUGCGGAUGGGGGUGCAGGGAUGGAAAGACAGCCUGCUGGGGAACCUGUGGAUGGGGGUACUGGGGCAGAAAGGCAGCCUGCUGAGGGCCCUGUGGUGGCUGAGGAUGCAGGGGUGGGAAGCCUUUCUGCUGCAUUGCCAGAGGCAGAGAGUGUGAAUGCAAACCAGUUUGCUGGGGUACCUGAUGUGGAUGCUGUGGAUGUAAACCAGUCUGCUUUGUCACCUGAAGUUGAAAGUGUGGAUGCAAACUGGUUUGCUGGGUCACCUGAAAUAGACUGGGUAGAUGGUGUGGAUGUAAACCAGUCUGCUGGGUCACCUGAAAUAGACUGGGUAGAUGGUGUGGAUGUAAACCAGUCUGCCGGGUCACCUGAAAUAGACUGGGUAGAUGGUGUGGAUGCAAACCAGUCUGCUGUGGUAAGUGAGGCAGAUGAGGUGGAUGCAAACCAGUCUGCUGGGUCACCUGAGAUAGACUGGGUAGAUGGUGUGGAUGUAAACCAGUCUGCUGGGUCACCUGAGAUAGACUGGGUAGAUGGUGUGGAUGUAAACCAGUCUGCUGGGUCACCUGAGAUAGACUGGGUAGAUGGUGUGGAUGUAAACCAGUCUGCCGGGUCACCUGAGAUAGACUGGGUGAAUGGAUGCAAACCAGUCUGCUGUGGUAAGUGA
This 1086-nucleotide long non-coding RNA is filed under the name Oreochromis niloticus (Nile tilapia). RNAcentral's name for it is "lncRNA (ENSONIG00000041000.1)". The record is from RNAcentral. Lineage: Eukaryota; Metazoa; Chordata; Actinopteri; Cichliformes; Cichlidae.